CCAAUAGCGUAUAUUAAAGUUGUUGCAGUUAAAAAGCUCGUAGUUGAAUUUCGGGAUCAAUAUAUCGGUCGUGCCAUUGGUACGUACUGGUAUCAUUGGUUUCUCCUUUCUGACGAACCAUGAUGUCAUUAAUUUGGUGUUAUGGGAAGUUAGGACUGUUACUUUGAAAAAAUUAGAGUGUUUAAAGCAGGCUUUAGCUUGAAUACAUUAGCAUGGAAUAAUGAAAUAGGACGUUCGAACCUAUUUUGUUGGUUUCUAGGAUCAACGUAAUGAUUAAUAGGGAUAGUUGGGGGCAUUAGUAUUCAAUUGUCAGAGGUGAAAUGCUUGGAUUUAUUGAAGACUAACUACUGCGAAAGCAUUUGCCAAGGAUGUUUUCAUUAAUCAAGAACGAAAGUUAGGGGAUCGAAGACGAUCAGAUACCGUCGUAGUCUUAACCAUAAACUAUGCCGACUAGGGAUCGGAUGAUGUUAAUUUUUUAAUGACUCAUUCGGCGCCUUACG
This 500-nucleotide unclassified non-coding RNA is filed under the name uncultured Glomus. Its description in RNAcentral is "SSU rRNA". It matches the Rfam family "Eukaryotic small subunit ribosomal RNA", at positions 591 to 1092 of the family's 1831-position model. Lineage: Eukaryota; Fungi; Glomeromycota; Glomeromycetes; Glomerales; Glomeraceae. The record is from RNAcentral.